AUGAUCUGCGGUGUGGAGGAACAUAGGUCGUAUUCUUAUUGCCACCAUGUUAACUUCCUGGCGGUUUCCGAGGGUUCAGCACCACGAGUCCUCUUUUUUGCUCAACUUCGGAUGUCAAGAUCUCAGGGCGAACAAUCUGGUGGUGGUUCGUUUUGCUGCCCGCUUCCUUAUUAUGAUGCCAACAAUCCAUUUCCAGGACGAUGCUCAAUGUGUGAGGCCAGUAUGGGAAAAAUAAUACACCCUGCUUCUGGUGCUCACAUCGGCCCGGUGCACACGGAACCUACAAGUACAGUGGAUUAUGUAUACGCGAAUGCUCCAGUGUCAAUGAAAUGCUAUCAGACUGAUAUGGAUGACCUUGUUGAGUCCGAGUUAACCUACUGUACUGAACCAUUGGAUUACUUUUCUACUUGGUCAGAAGCUACGAUGUUGUGA
Molecule: ribosomal RNA, 432 nt
Filed under: Triticum aestivum (bread wheat)
Lineage: Eukaryota; Viridiplantae; Streptophyta; Magnoliopsida; Poales; Poaceae
Description: partial small subunit ribosomal RNA
Source: RNAcentral